RNAcentral lists this small nuclear RNA (179 nucleotides) under Rhodnius prolixus. RNAcentral's name for it is "U4 spliceosomal RNA". The stretch from base 1 to 70 matches the Rfam family "U4 spliceosomal RNA". Lineage: Eukaryota; Metazoa; Arthropoda; Insecta; Hemiptera; Reduviidae. The record is from RNAcentral.
AACCUUGCACAGUGGCAAUAUCGUAACCAAUGAAGGCCUCCUGAGGUGCGAUUAUUGCUGGAUGAAAGUACGAAAUUGGCCAGAGAUACAAUAAACAUGCAUGCUGCAACGGAUGAAAUCAGUGAUGUCCAACACUGGCUAUAAAACCACAUUUUGAAACAAUUUAAACUGUGAAAAUU